This 678-nucleotide ribosomal RNA is filed under the name Klebsiella ornithinolytica. RNAcentral's name for it is "partial 23S ribosomal RNA". It matches the Rfam family "Bacterial large subunit ribosomal RNA", at positions 147 to 867 of the family's 2925-position model. The record is from RNAcentral. Lineage: Bacteria; Pseudomonadati; Pseudomonadota; Gammaproteobacteria; Enterobacterales; Enterobacteriaceae.
ACUAUCGUUAAGUGAAUACAUAGCUUAACGAAGCGAACCGGGGGAACUGAAACAUCUAAGUACCCCGAGGAAAAGAAAUCAACCGAGAUUCCCCCAGUAGCGGCGAGCGAACGGGGAGGAGCCCAGAGUCUGAAUCAGCGCGUGUGUUAGUGGAACGGUCUGGAAAGUCCGGCGGUACAGGGUGAUAGCCCCGUACACUAAAAUGCACACGUUGUGAACUCGAAGAGUAGGGCGGGACACGUGGUAUCCUGUCUGAAUAUGGGGGGACCAUCCUCCAAGGCUAAAUACUCCUGACUGACCGAUAGUGAACCAGUACCGUGAGGGAAAGGCGAAAAGAACCCCGGCGAGGGGAGUGAAAAAGAACCUGAAACCGUGUACGUACAAGCAGUGGGAGCCUACUUGUUAGGUGACUGCGUACCUUUUGUAUAAUGGGUCAGCGACUUAUAUUCUGUAGCAAGGUUAACCGUAUAGGGGAGCCGCAGGGAAACCGAGUCUUAACUGGGCGUUAAGUUGCAGGGUAUAGACCCGAAACCCGGUGAUCUAGCCAUGGGCAGGUUGAAGGUUGGGUAACACUAACUGGAGGACCGAACCGACUAAUGUUGAAAAAUUAGCGGAUGACUUGUGGCUGGGGGUGAAAGGCCAAUCAAACCGGGAGAUAGCUGGUUCUCCCCGAAAGCU